This 253-nucleotide ribosomal RNA is filed under the name uncultured bacterium. RNAcentral describes it as "partial 16S ribosomal RNA". It matches the Rfam family "Bacterial small subunit ribosomal RNA", at positions 524 to 776 of the family's 1533-position model. The record is from RNAcentral.
UACGUAGGGUGCGAGCGUUGUCCGGAAUUAUUGGGCGUAAAGGGCGCGCAGGCGGUCACGCACGUCCGUUGUGAAAUCGCUCGGCUCAACUGGGCGGGGUCAGCGGAUACGGCGCGACUGGAGCAAGCUAGGGGGCAAUGGAAUUCCCGGUGUAGUGGUGGAAUGCGUAGAUAUCAGGAGGAACACCAAUAGCGAAGGCAGCUCGCUGGGACGUUACUGACACUGAGGCGCGAAAGCGUGGGGAGCGAACAGG